UGUGUGUGGUGUGUGUGUGUUUUCUUCUCAGGGCCUAGCACAGUACUUUCCAACUUGAAAGCAUUGGAUGAUUCCUGUUGGUGUGGCUCUCACUCGAGAGGAAAAGCUUAGGGAACUUGAUUGUGUUCCGGGAAGGCUUCCUGUAAGAGGUGGCAUAAUGUUACUGUUAAUAAUUAUGACCAUUUGUUGUAUCAUAUAUACCACAUGCCAGUUACUCUGUUACCUACAUAGUCAGAGAUGCCACUUCUUGCUUACCAUCCUUACAUCUCCUUGUAUGUAGAGUCCAGGACUUCUACUUACUGACAGCUCUUGCUAAACAGCUAAGCAAGGAAUAACCAUGCAGCCCAUCUUUCACUUUAGGGCACAGCACCCAACCCAAGGCCACUACCUGUGAGUGAAUGGCCCAGCUUUAGUAGAUGAGGUGGACCAAUCCGAUCUGCUCUCCUUGGGAAUGUGAAAUAAGAGAUGCAGAGGGAUGUUGCCAGUUAGUUGUGGGGAGCUAAGCUGAGAGGUCCAGUACACCAAGAUGUUGGUUGGGUUGGGAGUGCUAUGGACUAGGUCAAGUGCCUGUUGAACAGCUAAAUGUAGUUGGCCAAGCAAGGAGCAUGGGGCAGUUGUGCAGAGAGAAGCAGGCAUGUAAUAUGGAUGAGCCAUAUGAACGGCAGACCUCUAGAGCAGAGAGGUUCAUGCUACAGCUAGACAUUUCCUCAAGCUCCAGGUACAAUAAGCUCUAUUUGAAUUCCUACCCUUGGAUUUCUGCAUCCUGAUCUCUCUUCAUUUGCUUUCUGUUUCUUGCAUCCAAAAGAGGCCCAACCCAAGCAACCCUUUCCAUAGAUUCCAUUUAAUUUGUGCUUCGUCCCCUCAGAGUGCUUCUUGCACAAUUAGAAAGAAUUUGUACUCUGAUGCCAAGUGGAGUCUUCUAAACAUCAGAGUCAGAGAAAAAUGCCAUGCUACACUAUGCAGCUGUGGAUGAAUAAGGACUCUUUAAUAGCUGCUGUGAACACAAACAAAAGCUUCUCAGCCCUGCAGAAAGACACUGAGAAACUUCUCCUACUCCUCCCACCCCAAGGAGCUACUUUUCUCACAAACUCCAGAGCUUUGUCCUCUUAUGCUAGAACUGACCUUGCUGCUUGAUGAGGCAGAGCCAUGAGGUCCCUGGUG
Long non-coding RNA from Mus musculus (house mouse), 1161 nucleotides. RefSeq annotates it as predicted gene, 54086. The transcript is spliced from 4 exons. Lineage: Eukaryota; Metazoa; Chordata; Mammalia; Rodentia; Muridae. The record is from RefSeq and is a predicted model, not a curated record.